GCAUCCUUCGGGAUGAGCGGCGGACGGGUGAGUAACGCGUGGGAAUAUGCCCUUCUCUAAGGAAUAGCCUCGGGAAACUGAGAGUAAUACCUUAUACGCCCUUCGGGGGAAAGAUUUAUCGGAGAAGGAUUAGCCCGCGUUAGAUUAGGUAGUUGGUGGGGUAAUGGCCUACCAAGCCUACGAUCUAUAGCUGGUUUGAGAGGAUGAUCAGCCACACUGGGACUGAGACACGGCCCAGACUCCUACGGGAGGCAGCAGUAGGGAAUCUUAGACAAUGGGGGAAACCCUGAUCUAGCCAUGCCGCGUGUGUGAUGAAGGCCUUAGGGUCGUAAAGCACUUUCGCCAGAGAUGAUAAUGACAGUAUCUGGUAAAGAAACCCCGGCUAACUCCGUGCCAGCAGCCGCGGUAAUACGGAGGGGGUUAGCGUUGUUCGGAAUUACUGGGCGUAAAGCGCACGUAGGCGGAUUAGUAAGUUAAGGGUGAAAUCCCAGGGCUCAACCCUGGAACUGCCUUUAAUACUGCUAGUCUUGAGUUC
Molecule: ribosomal RNA, 535 nt
Filed under: uncultured Paracoccaceae bacterium
Lineage: Bacteria; Pseudomonadati; Pseudomonadota; Alphaproteobacteria; Rhodobacterales; Paracoccaceae
Description: bacterial SSU rRNA
Rfam family: Bacterial small subunit ribosomal RNA
Source: RNAcentral